Molecule: ribosomal RNA, 235 nt
Filed under: uncultured bacterium
Lineage: Bacteria
Description: partial 16S ribosomal RNA
Source: RNAcentral
CUGCUGCCUUCCGUAGGAGUCUGGGCCGUGUCUCAGUCCCAAUGUGGCCGUCCGCCCUCUCAGGCCGGCUACCGAUCGUCGCCUUGGUGGGCCGCUGCCCCGCCAACAAGCUAAUCGGACGCGGACCCAUCGCAUGCCGGGAUUGCUCCCUUUCCGCACUGCGCCAUGCGGCGCCGUGCGCAUAUGCGGUAUUAGCAGCUGUUUCCAGCUGGUAUCCCCCUGCAUGCGGCAGGUU